This 443-nucleotide ribosomal RNA is filed under the name uncultured soil bacterium. RNAcentral's name for it is "bacterial SSU rRNA". It matches the Rfam family "Bacterial small subunit ribosomal RNA", at positions 26 to 521 of the family's 1533-position model. The record is from RNAcentral.
AGAACGAACGCUGGCGGCAUGCCUAACACAUGCAAGUCGAACGAGACCUUCGGGUCUAGUGGCGCACGGGUGCGUAACGCGUGGGAAUCUGCCCUUAGGUUCGGAAUAACAGCUAGAAAUGACUGCUAAUACCGGAUAAUGUCUUCGGACCAAAGAUUUAUCGCCAAAGGAUGAGCCCGCGUAAGAUUAGCUAGUUGGUGGGGUAAAAGCCUACCAAGGCGACGAUCUUUAGCUGGUCUGAGAGGAUGAUCAGCCACACUGGGACUGAGACACGGCCCAGACUCCUACGGGAGGCAGCAGGUGGGGAAUAGUUGGACAAUGGGCGAAAGCCUGAUCCAAGCAAUGCCGCGUGAGUGAUGAAGGCCUUAGGUGUAAAGCUCUUUACCGGGAUGAUAAUGACAGUACCGGAGAAUACGCCCGCUAACUCCGUGCCAGCGAGCCGA